Molecule: long non-coding RNA, 788 nt
Organism: Apus apus (common swift)
Lineage: Eukaryota; Metazoa; Chordata; Aves; Apodiformes; Apodidae
Exons: 4
Source: RefSeq, a predicted model, not a curated record
UCAUGAUGGAAUCGAUCCACCACAGAUCAUCCUUUUUCCACCAGAGAAAAUUUGUAUGGACUGGGAGAAAACAAAAAACGUUGGAGUUGGACUGCUCAAUCUUGGCAAUACCUGUUUCCUCAAUGCUGCUCUACAAUGCCUGACGUACACGCCUCCCCUUGCCAAUUACAUGCUCUCUUUUGAGCACUCCCAAUCAUGUGUUGCCAACAGCUUCUGUAUGAUGUGUGUGAUGGAAAGUCACGUUGCUCAGGCCCUCUGUUUCUCAAAUGGUCCCAUCAAACCUGCAUGUAUUAUCAAUAGCCUUAAAAGAAUUGGAGGAAAUUUCCAUUUUGGACGUCAGGAGGAUGCUCACGAAUUCUUAAGUUUUACCCUUGAGGCUUUGCAGAAUUCUUGCUUAAAUGGAAACACUGAACUGGACAGAUCCUCUCAAGCCACCACUUUUAUCCAUCAAAUAUUUGGAGGUUAUCUGAGAUCCCGAGGUAGUUUUUCAAAAUCUUCUUGUCCUUCCAACUGUUCUGUGGGUUUUUCAUCUGCCUGUGGUAAAGGAGUUUGUAGUUUGACUGGAGUAACAUGGAUUAAUAAUUGAAAUCUGUACAGCUAGUCUCCUUCACAUAGUGAUAAGCAUUUGUAUGUUGAUUCCAGUGAAGUGCAUGAACUGCAAAGCCGUGUCAGAUACGUAUGAGACAUUUUUUGAUAUUUCUUUGAACGUAAAGGUAAGCUGCUGUGUUAGAACAAAGACCUUGGUGGUGAAUGGGAAUGGAUUGGACUUCAUUCUUCAGUGGAAAUCA